AGAGUUUGAUCCUGGCUCAGGACGAACGCUGGCGGCGUGGAUUAGGCAUGCAAGUCGAACGGUAUCAUCCUUUCGGGGGUGAGAGAGUGGCGAACUGGUGAGUAACACGUAGGUUAUCUACCCUCAAGACGGGGACAACCCAGGGAAACUUGGGCUAAUACCGGAUGUGAGCAACUUUUUAGUUGUUUGAAAGGUGGCGUAAGCUGUCGCUUGGGGAUGAGCCUGCGUCCUAUUAGUUAGUUGGUGAGGUAACGGCUCACCUAGGCAAUGAUAGGUAGGCGGCCUUAACGGGUGGUCGCCCACACUGGGAUUGAGAUACGGCCCAGACUCCUACGGGAGGCAGCAGUCGAGAAUAGUCUACAAUGGUCGGAAGACUGAUAGUGCGACGCCGCGUGAACGAUGAAUCCCUUCGGGGUGUAAAGUUCUUUUAUAUGUGAGCAGUGCUUCUUAUAUUAAGAGUAUGGGGAGAGAGAUAUUAGCAUAUGAAUAAGCAACGGCUAACUCCGUGCCAGCAGCCGCGGUAACACGGGGGUUGCGAGCGUUGUCCGGAAUUACUAGGCGUAAAGGGCAGGCAGGCGGAUCCAUAAGUUUAUCGUUUAAGGCGUCGGCUUAACCGGCGUAGGGCGGUAGAUACUGUGGAUCUGGGAAUGCGGUUGGGGAAGACAGAAUUCCUGGUGUAGCGGUGGAAUGCGCAGAGAUCAGGAGGAAUACCGAAAGCGAAGGCAGUCUUCCAAGCCCGUUAAUG
This 745-nucleotide ribosomal RNA is filed under the name uncultured bacterium. Its description in RNAcentral is "bacterial SSU rRNA". It matches the Rfam family "Bacterial small subunit ribosomal RNA", at positions 8 to 742 of the family's 1533-position model. The record is from RNAcentral.